GGUUAAGCGACUAAGCGUACACGGUGGAUGCCCUGGCAGUCAGAGGCGAUGAAGGACGUGCUAAUCUGCGAAAAGCGUCGGUAAGGUGAUAUGAACCGUUACAGCCGGCGAUGUCCGAAUGGGGAAACCCAGUGCAAUUCGUUGCACUAUCGUUAACUGAAUACAUAGGUUAACGAGGCGAACCGGGGGAACUGAAACAUCUAAGUACCCCGAGGAAAAGAAAUCAACCGAGAUUCCCCCAGUAGCGGCGAGCGAACGGGGAGCAGCCCAGAGUCUGAAUCAGCUUGUGUGUUAGUGGAACGGUCUGGAAAGUCCGACGGUACAGGGUGAUAGUCCCGUACACCAAAAUGCACAGGUUGUGAACUCGAAGAGUAGGGCGGGACACGUGGUAUCCUGUCUGAAUAUGGGGGGACCAUCCUCCAAGGCUAAAUACUCCUGACUGACCGAUAGUGAACCAGUACCGUGAGGGAAAGGCGAAAAGAACCCCGGCGAGGGGAGUGAAAAAGAACCUGAAACCGUGUACGUACAAGCAGUGGGAGCACCUUCGGGUGUGACUGCGUACCUUUUGUAUAAUGGGUCAGCGACUUAUAUUCUGUAGCAAGGUUAACCGUAUAGGGGAGCCGCAGGGAAACCGAGUCUUAACUGGGCGUUAAGUUGCAGGGUAUAGACCCGAAACCCGGUGAUCUAGCCAUGGGCAGGUUGAAGGUUGGGUAACACUAACUGGAGGACCGAACCGACUAAUGUUGAAAAAUUAGCGGAUGACUUGUGGCUGGGGGUGAAAGGCCAAUCAAACCGGGAGAUAGCUGGUUCUCCCCGAAAGCUAUUUAGGUAGCGCCUCGUGAACUCAUCUUCGGGGGUAGAGCACUGUUUCGGCUAGGGGGUCAUCCCGACUUACCAACCCGAUGCAAACUACGAAUACCGAAGAAUGUUAUCACGGGAGACACACGGCGGGUGCUAACGUCCGUCGUGAAGAGGGAAACAACCCAGACCGCCAGCUAAGGUCCCAAAGUCAUGGUUAAGUGGGAAACGAUGUGGGAAGGCACAGACAGCCAGGAUGUUGGCUUAGAAGCAGCCAUCAUUUAAAGAAAGCGUAAUAGCUCACUGGUCGAGUCGGCCUGCGCGGAAGAUGUAACGGGGCUAAACCAUGCACCGAAGCUGCGGCAGCGACACUAUGUGUUGUUGGGUAGGGGAGCGUUCUGUAAGCCUGCGAAGGUGACCUGUGAGGGUUGCUGGAGGUAUCAGAAGUGCGAAUGCUGACAUAAGUAACGAUAAAGCGGGUGAAAAGCCCGCUCGCCGGAAGACCAAGGGUUCCUGUCCAACGUUAAUCGGGGCAGGGUGAGUCGACCCCUAAGGCGAGGCCGAAAGGCGUAGUCGAUGGGAAACAGGUUAAUAUUCCUGUACUUGGUGUUACUGCGAAGGGGGGACGGAGAAGGCUAUGUUAGCCGGGCGACGGUUGUCCCGGUUUAAGCAUGUAGGCUGGUUGUCCAGGCAAAUCCGGAUAAUCAAGGCUGAGGUGUGAUGACGAGGCACUACGGUGCUGAAGUAACAAAUGCCCUGCUUCCAGGAAAAGCCUCUAAGCAUCAGGUAACAUUAAAUCGUACCCCAAACCGACACAGGUGGUCAGGUAGAGAAUACCAAGGCGCUUGAGAGAACUCGGGUGAAGGAACUAGGCAAAAUGGUGCCGUAACUUCGGGAGAAGGCACGCUGGUGUGUAGGUGAAGCCCCUGCGGGUGGAGCUGAGACCAGUCGAAGAUACCAGCUGGCUGCAACUGUUUAUUAAAAACACAGCACUGUGCAAACACGAAAGUGGACGUAUACGGUGUGACGCCUGCCCGGUGCCGGAAGGUUAAUUGAUGGGGUUAUCCGUAAGGAGAAGCUCUUGAUCGAAGCCCCGGUAAACGGCGGCCGUAACUAUAACGGUCCUAAGGUAGCGAAAUUCCUUGUCGGGUAAGUUCCGACCUGCACGAAUGGCGUAAUGAUGGCCAGGCUGUCUCCACCCGAGACUCAGUGAAAUUGAACUCGCUGUGAAGAUGCAGUGUACCCGCGGCAAGACGGAAAGACCCCGUGAACCUUUACUAUAGCUUGACACUGAACAUUGAGCCUUGAUGUGUAGGAUAGGUGGGAGGCUUUGAAGCGUGGACGCCAGUCUGCGUGGAGCCAACCUUGAAAUACCACCCUUUAAUGUUUGAUGUUCUAACGUUGGCCCCUUACCGGGGUUGCGGACAGUGUCUGGUGGGUAGUUUGACUGGGGCGGUCUCCUCCCAAAGCGUAACGGAGGAGCACGAAGGUUAGCUAAUCCUGGUCGGACAUCAGGAGGUUAGUGCAAUGGCAUAAGCUAGCUUGACUGCGAGCGUGACGGCGCGAGCAGGUGCGAAAGCAGGUCAUAGUGAUCCGGUGGUUCUGAAUGGAAGGGCCAUCGCUCAACGGAUAAAAGGUACUCCGGGGAUAACAGGCUGAUACCGCCCAAGAGUUCAUAUCGACGGCGGUGUUUGGCACCUCGAUGUCGGCUCAUCACAUCCUGGGGCUGAAGUAGGUCCCAAGGGUAUGGCUGUUCGCCAUUUAAAGUGGUACGCGAGCUGGGUUUAGAACGUCGUGAGACAGUUCGGUCCCUAUCUGCCGUGGGCGCUGGAGAAUUGAGGGGGGCUGCUCCUAGUACGAGAGGACCGGAGUGGACGCAUCACUGGUGUUCGGGUUGUCAUGCCAAUGGCACUGCCCGGUAGCUAAAUGCGGAAGAGAUAAGUGCUGAAAGCAUCUAAGCACGAAACUUGCCCCGAGAUGAGUUCUCCCUGAGACUUUAAGUCUCCUGAAGGAACGUUGAAGACGACGACGUUGAUAGGCCGGGUGUGUAAGCGCAGCGAUGCGUUGAGCUAACCGGUACUAAUGAACCGUGAGGCUUAACCUU
RNAcentral lists this ribosomal RNA (2902 nucleotides) under Klebsiella pneumoniae subsp. rhinoscleromatis SB3432. RNAcentral describes it as "LSU rRNA". It matches the Rfam family "Bacterial large subunit ribosomal RNA". Lineage: Bacteria; Pseudomonadati; Pseudomonadota; Gammaproteobacteria; Enterobacterales; Enterobacteriaceae. The record is from RNAcentral.